GUAGGUGGCAAGCGUUGUCCGGGAAUUAUUGGGCGUAAAGCGCGCGCAGGCGGUUCUUUAAGUCUGAUGUGAAAGCCCACGGGCUCAACCGUGGAGGGUCAUUGGAAACUGGAGAACUUGAGUACAGAAGAGGAAAGCGGAAUUCCACGUGUAGCGGUGAAAUGCGUAGAGAUGUGGAGGAACACCAGUGGCGAAGGCGGCUUUCUGGUCUGUAACUGACGCUGAGGCGCGAAAGCGUGGGGAGCAAACAGGAUUAGAUACCCUGGUAGUCCACGCCGUAAACGAUGAGCGCUAAGUGUUAGGGGGUUUCCGCCCCUUAGUGCUGCAGCUAACGCAUUAAGCACUCCGCCUGGGGAGUACGGCCGCAAAGGCUG
Molecule: ribosomal RNA, 374 nt
Filed under: uncultured organism
Description: partial 16S ribosomal RNA
Rfam family: Bacterial small subunit ribosomal RNA
Source: RNAcentral